AACCUUUCGUGAUUGGGAUAGGGACUUGCAAUUAUUUCCCUUGAACGAGGAAUUCCCAGUAAGUGCGGGUCAUAAGCUCGCGUUGAUUACGUCCCUGCCCUUUGUACACACCGCCCGUCGCUGCCCGGGACUGAGCCGUUUCGAGAAGAACGGGGACCGUAGACGCUUGGCUCUCACGGGCUUUUCGUUUGUGGAAACCGUUUUAAUCGCAGCGGCUUGAACCGGGCAAAAGUCGUAACAAGGUUUCCGUAGGUGAACCUGCGGAAGGAUCAAG
Molecule: ribosomal RNA, 274 nt
Filed under: uncultured eukaryote
Lineage: Eukaryota
Description: partial 18S ribosomal RNA
Rfam family: Eukaryotic small subunit ribosomal RNA
Source: RNAcentral